RNAcentral lists this transfer RNA (65 nucleotides) under Dipodomys ordii (Ord's kangaroo rat). It matches the Rfam family "tRNA". From Rfam's summary of the family: Transfer RNA (tRNA) molecules are approximately 80 nucleotides in length. Their secondary structure includes four short double-helical elements and three loops (D, anti-codon, and T loops). The record is from Rfam by way of RNAcentral. Lineage: Eukaryota; Metazoa; Chordata; Mammalia; Rodentia; Heteromyidae.
GGUGGCUCAGUGGUAGAGCACUUGCCUUGCAUGCUCGAGGCCCUGGGUUCGAAUCCUCAGCACCA